AGUGAACGCUGGCGGUAGGCCUAACACAUGCAAGUCGAACGGCAGCACAGUAAGAGCUUGCUCUUACGGGUGGCGAGUGGCGGACGGGUGAGGAAUACAUCGGAAUCUACUUUUUCGUGGGGGAUAACGUAGGGAAACUUACGCUAAUACCGCAUACGACCUACGGGUGAAAGCAGGGGAUCUUCGGACCUUGCGCGAUUGAAUGAGCCGAUGUCGGAUUAGCUAGUUGGCGGGGUAAAGGCCCACCAAGGCGACGAUCCGUAGCUGGUCUGAGAGGAUGAUCAGCCACACUGGAGCUGGGACACGGUCAAGACUCCUACGGGAGGCAGCAGUGGGCAAUAUUGGGCAAUGGGCGCAAGCCUGAUCCAGCCAUACCGCGUGGGUGAAGAAGGCCUUCGGGUUGUAAAGCCCUUUUGUUGGGAAAGAAAAGCAGCAGGUUAAUACCCCGCUGUUCUGACGGUACCCAAAGAAUAAGCACCGGCUAACUUCGUG
This 492-nucleotide ribosomal RNA is filed under the name uncultured bacterium. RNAcentral's name for it is "partial 16S ribosomal RNA". It matches the Rfam family "Bacterial small subunit ribosomal RNA", at positions 29 to 507 of the family's 1533-position model. The record is from RNAcentral.